Long non-coding RNA from Diorhabda carinulata, 387 nucleotides. RefSeq lists it as uncharacterized. The transcript has 3 exons. NCBI's taxonomy places the organism in Eukaryota, Metazoa, Arthropoda, Insecta, Coleoptera, Chrysomelidae. The record is from RefSeq and is a predicted model, not a curated record.
AAAUUCGGAAUUUGAGUAAGAUCCAGAACCAAGUACUAGUGCAGGAAAUACAAACGUGAGUUCGGGAUUCCAGCAGACUACAAUUUCGUCUACAUUCAAAAACAUUGCAUUAUACCAAGACGGUGGCUCUAAAAAUAUGAAGGUGACGGAUGCAGUAGUGAAAUUUAUUGUCCAGGACAAUUUUCCAUUCAGUACUGUGGAAAAAAGGGUUUUAAGGCCUUUAUGAAGCAUAUAGUACCUCUUUACAUAGUACCAACUAGAAAUACAAUAAAAAACAAUGUGGAUAAGAAGUUUGAGGUGAUUUCAACAGCUUUUAAAAAUAUCUUGAAGAAAUUUUUAUUCGAUUUGGUAACCAGUUUUAUUUGGGAAUUCCAAAGGAUUAAUUUU